CCUACGGGAGGCAGCAGUGGGGAAUAUUGGGCAAUGGGCGCAAGCCUGACCCAGCAACGCCGCGUGAAGGAAGAAGGCUUUCGGGUUGUAAACUUCUUUUCUGAGGGACGAAGAAAGUGACGGUACCUGGGGAGGAAGCUCCGGCAAACUACGUGCCAGCAGCCGCGGUAAUACGUAGGGAGCAAGCGUUGUCCGGAAUUACUGGGUGAAAAGGGAGCGUAGGCGGGGAUGCAAGUUGGGUGUAAAAACUACCGGCUAAACCGAGAGUCGCACUAAAAACUGCAACUCUUGAGUGAAGUAGAGGCAGGCGGAAUUCCUAGUGUAGCGGUGAAAUGCGUAGAUAUUAGGAGGAACACCAGUGGCGAAGGCGGCCUGCUGGGCUUUUACUGACGCUGAGGCUCGAAAGUGUGGGGAGCAAACAGGAUUAGAUACCCUAGUAGUC
This 442-nucleotide ribosomal RNA is filed under the name uncultured bacterium. Its description in RNAcentral is "partial 16S ribosomal RNA". It matches the Rfam family "Bacterial small subunit ribosomal RNA", at positions 338 to 795 of the family's 1533-position model. The record is from RNAcentral.